AGAAUCAACGCUGGCGGCGUGCCUAACACAUGCAAGUCGCACGGAGAAAGGGGAGCAAUUCCUGAGUAAAGUGGCGCACGGGUGAGUAACACGUGAAUAAUCUACCUCCGAGUGGGGAAUAACUGAGAGAAAUCUUAGCUAAUACCGCAUAACACUUACGAGUCAAAGCAGCAAUGCGCUUGGAGAGGAGUUCGCGGCCGAUUAGUUAGUUGGCGGGGUAAUGGCCCACCAAGACGAUGAUCGGUA
This 246-nucleotide ribosomal RNA is filed under the name uncultured bacterium. RNAcentral describes it as "partial small subunit ribosomal RNA". It matches the Rfam family "Bacterial small subunit ribosomal RNA", at positions 26 to 285 of the family's 1533-position model. The record is from RNAcentral.